AAAAUUUAUUUCGUACACACGAAAUGAAUUUUGAUCUAACGAAAUGGCACCCCAAGUGUUCAAAGGAAAAUUCUGUAGGAAAAUUUGUGUUUCACUCCAACGAAAUUCAUUUCGUCAUGAUGCAGUGUGAUUUCGUAUACGAAAUUUAUUUUGUGUCACACUUAUAAUCAAUUUCGUCGAGACGGAAUAAAAUUGCGUCCUCAAAAUUCAUUUCGUUGCGAUGCGAAUAUCUAUUCCGUCGAUGAAAUGAUUUUGUGUCACAUCACAAAAAAUUCUGUCGACGAAAUGAUUUUGUGUCACAUCACAAAAAAUUCCGUCCAUGUAAAAUAAUUCUGUCUCCUCUUUCUGGCAGGGUAUAUGAGAUCGUCGCUGAUUGGCUGCACCUUGCUCAAGCCGAUCUUCGAUCGAUCGAUAUCCGGCCGCGGGACGGUCACACUCACAGGUCGGCAUGUUGGUGAACCUUUCCUGUUUAGCUUAGAUUUCACGUUAUCAUGGUUAUUCAUGCCAACAAGAGCUGCAAACAACUUCUCUAAUUAGUAGAAUGUGGACGGACAUUGCAUUCAUUCCCAUUCAGCCAUUGGACUGAACCGGUACCAAGACCGGAACUGUAACACAGUAAGGAUGGUCAAUAUGAAGCGAGCUUCAUUGAAUUUCUCCAAGAGCUCUGUACUCUGUUCUGAUCAUUUUGAAGAUGCUUGCUUUGACCUGGGCAGACGAUACGUCUUAAACAGGAUGCUGUCCCAACCAUAUUUGAUUUCCCGCCUCGUCUUCAGAAGAAUUCACCCAAACCAAGGUAUUUCCCAAAAGACUUUUCGAUUCAGCAAACAACCUCCCAGAUACUGCAAAGACACCAGUGCCAAAGUCUUCAGCACCUUAAUUUCUCGAAGACCACUCCUACUGAAUACCAGAAAGUCCAAGAGGGGUAAAGUGGAAGUCAACAACAAUAAUGGACUGUAUUAAAACUUGGAGAAGAGGCUGAAAACCACACAGAAGUCCUACCUUAUACAUUACUUGCUUUUAAGUUUGGACAAACAUUGAUUUGCACAACUUUACAACAAAAAAUUUACGCUGUGUGGAUUCUGAUUAUUUAAAAUAGCUCAAUGAAAACGUUUAUCACUGGGCAUGUAACAAAAAUGAAUUCAUUGAAUUUGAAGAUGUCUUACAGUAUAUUCAUUCUGAUUUGAAUGUCAGAAGAGAAAAAAGUUUGUGAAAAGUAGGAAUGACGGCAAGCUGACAGAAGAAUAGAAUACAUGUAGGAUAGAACAAGGCCACAGUUAUAAAUGAGCUGUUGGAUAGAGACAAAAAGAUGAAUUAAGAAUGGGGGUGAUAGAGAAAUAGAGACAGGAAUUGGGGAGCCUGUGAUGAAUGCCUGAGAAAGUAAAAAUUACCAUAUUUUAUUUUUUUAAGGAUUUGAACAGUC
Molecule: long non-coding RNA, 1420 nt
Filed under: Lytechinus variegatus (green sea urchin)
Lineage: Eukaryota; Metazoa; Echinodermata; Echinoidea; Temnopleuroida; Toxopneustidae
Description: uncharacterized LOC121415186, transcript variant X2
Source: RNAcentral